RNAcentral lists this long non-coding RNA (1210 nucleotides) under Brassica napus (rape). RNAcentral describes it as "long non-coding RNA (BNAP_LNC020228)". The record is from RNAcentral. Lineage: Eukaryota; Viridiplantae; Streptophyta; Magnoliopsida; Brassicales; Brassicaceae.
CCAGUUACUUUGAGGUAAUUUCAAACCUGUAUAUACAUAGCCCCAUAUUAUUUGAACUCACAUAUAUUUUUCUUGAAUGUUAGUCUAAUGAGGGCGUAGGAGCUGACCAUUGUGUGCCGGUACCGUAAGCUUUACUUGAUACAAUAGAAAGAUACACAAAUUCAUUGUGAAAGUCUCAGAUCAUAAUUUGAUAUGCAAGUCUCAAACCAUAACUAUCACAAAGAUACUCCCACCAGAAGCUCCACAUCCUAUAGCACACUUGGAAGAAGAUGCUAUUCCAGCAAUGUCCGAUGUUAUUUUGAAGACUAGAAGUGAGGAAUCCGGUCCUUCCAAAGGCUUUGAAGAUUAUGAAGGUGAUAGGGUUAGAAAAGCUUCUGAGAGUCUUGAAUCAGAUGAAGCCAAGCGUUCCAAGAGUGGCUAAUAUAGCUUCAACCUAUCCUCUUACGCAGUGAUUGUUUUUGCUGCAGUUUAAUUACUGUUUUUAUGUUUACCUAAUGACUUUGCCUUCUUUUCAUUUCAAUCUUCAGACUUUUGUCCAUUGGAGACACUUUAUGUUUCUUUGAAUACAAUUUUCAUUAUAUUUAACCUCAUAAUCUCUGGUGUAAGAAUAACAAUUGGUGUAAGGAUCAAAUGUCGGAUUGCCUUCAAAUCCUCUACGUAGGCUUAGAGUAAAGUCUUAAACUUUCUGACACUGCUCUAUUUGUCUCAAGUCUGUGCUCUUCUUUCUGGAGGAGGAUAUGCAAAGAAAGUUGUUGUGACCAUUGGACAAAUCCUUCCAAUUCCGCAGGUUUAAGAUACAUCUAUUUUCUCUAAACUGGAGCUUGGUUUCCCAUAAUACAAACAAGGCUUAUGAAUUCACGUAAGUUUCCUUCUUCUUCUACUCUCACUCUAUGUCCUGAUAUUGGUUUGCCAAACUUGAAGAUGCUCCAAUUUAUUAGGAACUUGGUCUUCUACGAUGAUGACCUCAUUUGUCACCUUCUCCAUCUCUGUUUCCUAUCAUCAUUCCUAUAUAUAUAUUUGUAUUGUAGUUCUUCCAAUUCCAACUCGUAUGCUUUAGUUUCAUUCUAGCUCAGUUUAGUCGUGCGUAAAUGACCCUUUCGAUAAUAAGCUUUUUCUUACUUGAAUUGAAGCGUAUUUAAUCUUUCUUUUUUUUUCAUGUCAUGUUGUUUUUUUUGAAGAGUGAAAGAUGAAGCAGCUUUCAAUAAAUUUG